RNAcentral lists this long non-coding RNA (253 nucleotides) under Brassica napus (rape). Its description in RNAcentral is "long non-coding RNA (BNAP_LNC009477)". Lineage: Eukaryota; Viridiplantae; Streptophyta; Magnoliopsida; Brassicales; Brassicaceae. The record is from RNAcentral.
CUGGAUACGGUUUUAGCGGAGAGCAUCGCCACCUUAGCCCUCACAAUUUGAUCUCCGCAUCAUGAUAAGCUUACCGCAACCGGUACGAGCUUCUCAUCAAAGUGUAAAGGAGGCACAACCUCUUAGCAUCUAUCAGUGACGACGUUCUCAAGCUCCAUCCCGAGCUCUGUUUUUAGAAUCUUGGUGCAUUAUCUUCCAACUCCAAAAUCUUGCAGUCACAGUUACGAUUUGUUUCAUCUCCACCGCAAAGUUA